GAGGAGGUGCGCCGGUUCAUGGGUCCCGGAGGGCCCAAGUGAGCCGCUCCCGGAAACGGAAUCUCACUCUGUUGCCCAGAAUGGAGUGCAGUGGCAUGAUCACAGCUCACUGCAGCCUCUACCUCUUGGGCUCCAACGAUCCUCCUGCCUCAGACUCCCAAGUCGCUGGGACCACAGUCAUGCAUCACCAUGCCUGGAUAAUUUUUAAAUUUUUUGUUAAGACAGGGUCUCGCUAUGUUGCUAGGCUGGCCUCGAACUCUUGGCCUCAAGCAAUCCUCCCGCCUCAGCCUCCCCAGGCACUGGGAUUACAGGUGUGAGCCACUGCACCCAGCCUGACACCCCUCUUUGGACCAGCAUGUACCCUCCCCAGUGCCCCCCAUUACUGACAUUUGCCUUGCUGGGACCCACCUAUUGGCUUUUGGAUUGAAUUGUUCAAGAAUAGAAGGGCGAGGAAGAGAGAAAACAGGGCGGGGGAGAGGUGGGAAGGAAAAGGGGAAGAGCCACAGAAACCUUCGGCAAGUUGGCUUUGGCUAUGGGCCAUCAGUUUCUCCCCUUAGCUUCCCGUAGUGUCAGGGAAAUACUACCAGGCACAGAGGAGCCACCUCAUCUUUUUGGAUUGUUGGGUCACUGUACUUCUCCAUGAGUUGCAAACCCUCUCUGCACUUAAUCUGUAGAACGAGCUUGACCAAUGGAGUUGUAAUGUUUGGAAUCAACUCAGUGUGGGUGA
RNAcentral lists this long non-coding RNA (727 nucleotides) under Pan troglodytes (chimpanzee). RNAcentral describes it as "lincRNA". Lineage: Eukaryota; Metazoa; Chordata; Mammalia; Primates; Hominidae. The record is from RNAcentral.